CACGUUGAGAGAGUUUCAGAUCCAAACUCAGUUACUCUUUCUUUCUCCAACACUCUGCUUCCUUCUUUUCAUCGUUUCUUUCUCCCCCAUUUCAAAUACAAACAAACACCACAAGUUCAUGGUCAAAACAACAAAUCUGGAUAUAGUGAGGAGAAUGCGACGAGGACUUUGCUGGUGUGUGGUGGUGAUCGGCCACGAGUUGUUUGCAUCGAAAGUAAGCAUUGGAUAUGUAGUUGUGUGGAUGAUGGUGACCACAGAUCUGUAGCAUGUCACCAGUUGCGCUUCCGAUUCAUCAGAGGGAGCGAACUUGAUUUCUUCCUUUUUUCUGCAAGCAAAAAAACUGAAAAAACAACAACAAGAAUGAAAGAAAAACACAAUUAA
This is a non-coding RNA of Vicia faba (fava bean), 381 nucleotides long. Lineage: Eukaryota; Viridiplantae; Streptophyta; Magnoliopsida; Fabales; Fabaceae. The record is from the annotation of a GenBank genome assembly.